RNAcentral lists this ribosomal RNA (524 nucleotides) under uncultured bacterium. RNAcentral's name for it is "bacterial SSU rRNA". It matches the Rfam family "Bacterial small subunit ribosomal RNA", at positions 44 to 605 of the family's 1533-position model. The record is from RNAcentral.
GUGGAUCAGGCAUGCAAGUCGAGCGAUCGUAGCAAUACGGGAGCGGCAAACGGGGUAGGAAUACAUCGGAACGUACCCUCUGGUCGAGGAUAGCGUCGGGAAACUGACGGUAAUACUCGAUAAAGUCGAGAGACCAAAGGUUUACUGCCGGAGGAGCGGCCGAUGCGAUAUUAGGUAGUUGGUGGGGUAAUGGCCUACCAAGCCUGAGAUGUCUAGGGGGUGUGAGAGCAUGGCCCCCACCACUGGGACUGAGAAACUGCCCAGACACCUACGGGUGGCUGCAGUCGAGGAUCUUCGUCAAUGGGCGAAAGCCUGAACGAGCGACGCCGCGUGCGGGAUGAAGGCCCUUGGGUUGUAAACCGCUGUCAGGGGGGAUGAAACCGCAAGGUUGACAGAGCCCCAGAGGAAGCACGGGCUAAGUUCGUGCCAGCAGCCGCGGUAAUACGAACUGUGCGAACGUUACUCGGAAUCACUGGGCUUACAGGGUGCGUAGGCGGCUUGCUAAGCAGGGUGUGAAAUCCCUC